This 444-nucleotide ribosomal RNA is filed under the name Metaphycus sp. 1 AP-2020. RNAcentral describes it as "partial large subunit ribosomal RNA". Lineage: Eukaryota; Metazoa; Arthropoda; Insecta; Hymenoptera; Encyrtidae. The record is from RNAcentral.
CGGCGKCGGCUUCCGUGCGGCUCGCGAUGCCCGGCGUCUCGGCGCCGGCGCACGCGGUCGCUGCGGCAUGACCGUUACCGUUCGSUUGCACUUCUCCCCUAGUAGGACGUCSCGACCCGUUGGGUGCYGGCCUACGGCCCGUUUGGUAGUCUGUCGCGUCGCGUUCACGCGCKCUCACGUKUCAGGCCAACGGUCGCCCGGUCGGCUGCCCGGCGGUAUCGAACGCUUUGAAAAACAGGUAUUGAGCCGCACCUCGGUGCGUCUUGGCCCGUCGCAAUACGCGCCUCSCCCGGAUUUACSAACCCAGUCUCGUUGCUGGGCGCUUGGCGUGUACUUUGUCSUACGGUGUCCUCGGACAGGCUCGUUGCCGCGCUCGCGCGGCAUACCCGUCGGCGACGCUUUUGCUUUGGGUACUUUCAGGACCCGUCUUGAAACCGGACCAAA